GAUGUGACAUAUUCUAGUACUAUGAAUCUAGACAUACAUACGUCCAGAUUCAUAGUACUAUAAUAUGUAUGUCCAGAUUCAUAGUACUAGAAUAUGUCACAUCCGGUCCU
This 110-nucleotide unclassified non-coding RNA is filed under the name Oryza sativa (Asian cultivated rice). RNAcentral describes it as "partial microRNA MIR468n-41-as precursor". Lineage: Eukaryota; Viridiplantae; Streptophyta; Magnoliopsida; Poales; Poaceae. The record is from RNAcentral.